Molecule: long non-coding RNA, 235 nt
Organism: Populus trichocarpa (black cottonwood)
Lineage: Eukaryota; Viridiplantae; Streptophyta; Magnoliopsida; Malpighiales; Salicaceae
Exons: 2
Source: RefSeq, a predicted model, not a curated record
GAAAUGCCACAAUUAACACAACGAAGAGAAUCCUCUUCAGCUUCCAUUGCCUGGUUAACAAUACUUGGAUCAAUAACAGUGUGGUUACUCUCAGCCGCUUCGAAAUUGGCGUCGACUUCGAAAUACUUCGACGCCGUAUUCUUAACGAGGUGUAACAAACCUAAACCUAUUACAAAGACAGUGAAAAUAAAUUGCAGUAACCAAUUCAGAUCCAUUGUUAUUCCACCGACAUGCA